Molecule: long non-coding RNA, 515 nt
Filed under: Salmo trutta (river trout)
Lineage: Eukaryota; Metazoa; Chordata; Actinopteri; Salmoniformes; Salmonidae
Description: lncRNA (ENSSTUG00000023677.1)
Source: RNAcentral
AUUGUGCCUCUCUCUUUUAGAUCUGCCAGCCCCAGCAGUUCAGCUGCAGUCUCAGCAGUCCUCUGCUGUGGUCUUUCAUUUACCGGCUGCACCAGUUCCUACUACACUGGCCGUGAAGGGAGAAACUGUUGAGGAGACCCAGAUGGAUACAGAUCUGCCUGACAGCCUCACCCAGAAGACACUGGGCCUAUCAAGACUGACAAAGCAGAGAUGGGUGGCUGACAAGGAAAAAUAAAACACAACACACAUUAUCCACAAUGUAAAUACAUUGUAAUUACUUGUUUAUUUAAUGUUUGCUGCAUUUUAUUUGAGGAUUGGAGAGAUCUACUCCUUCAUAUCCAUUCUCAAUAUCUACAUAAUUACUCUCCAUAUCUAUCAAAUCAAAGGGUGAUUGAUAAUAUUGUAAAAGACUAUGGCUUAAUGUUUACAGUCUGAUGAAAUUCUGUGCUUUUUUCUGAGUUGAAAACAUGUUGGUUCCACUUUUCUGGGCUCCGUUAUUUACAAAUAAGGAAAAC